RNAcentral lists this ribosomal RNA (760 nucleotides) under uncultured Prevotella sp. RNAcentral's name for it is "bacterial SSU rRNA". It matches the Rfam family "Bacterial small subunit ribosomal RNA", at positions 28 to 776 of the family's 1533-position model. The record is from RNAcentral. Lineage: Bacteria; Pseudomonadati; Bacteroidota; Bacteroidia; Bacteroidales; Prevotellaceae.
GAUGAACGCUGGCUACAGGCUUAACACAUGCAAGUCGAGGGGAAACGACGGGGAAGCUUGCUUCCCCGGGCGUCGACCGGCGCACGGGUGAGUAACGCGUAUCCAACCUGCCUCUGACUGAGGGAUAACCCGUCGAAAGUCGGCUUAAUACCUCAUGGUAUCGUCUGCGGGCAUCCAACGACGAUUAAAGAUUUCAUCGGUCAGGGAUGGGGAUGCGUCUGAUUAGCUUGUUGGCGGGGUAACGGCCCACCAAGGCUACGAUCAGUAGGGGUUCUGAGAGGAAGGUCCCCCACAUUGGAACUGAGACACGGUCCAAACUCCUACGGGAGGCAGCAGUGAGGAAUAUUGGUCAAUGGGCGAGAGCCUGAACCAGCCAAGUAGCGUGCAGGAAGACGGCCCUAUGGGUUGUAAACUGCUUUUAUGCGGGGAUAAAGUGAGGGACGUGUCCCUCAUUGCAGGUACCGCAUGAAUAAGGACCGGCUAAUUCCGUGCCAGCAGCCGCGGUAAUACGGAAGGUCCUGGCGUUAUCCGGAUUUAUUGGGUUUAAAGGGAGCGUAGGCCGUGGAUUAAGCGUGUUGUGAAAUGCAGGUGCUCAACGUCUGCACUGCAGCGCGAACUGGUCCACUUGAGUGUGCGCAACGCAGGCGGAAUUCGUCGUGUAGCGGUGAAAUGCUUAGAUAUGACGAAGAACUCCGAUUGCGAAGGCAGCUUGCGGGAGCACAACUGACGCUGAAGCUCGAAAGUGCGGGUAUCGAACAGG